RNAcentral lists this small nuclear RNA (103 nucleotides) under Myotis brandtii (Brandt's bat). The record is from RNAcentral. Lineage: Eukaryota; Metazoa; Chordata; Mammalia; Chiroptera; Vespertilionidae.
GUAGUCCCGGCAGCACAUAUACUAAAAUUGGGAGGAUACAAGAAAAUUAGUAUGGCCCCUGCACAAGGAUGACGUGCAAAUUCGUGAAGCGUCCCAUAUUUUU